This 460-nucleotide ribosomal RNA is filed under the name uncultured bacterium. RNAcentral describes it as "partial 16S ribosomal RNA". It matches the Rfam family "Bacterial small subunit ribosomal RNA", at positions 338 to 795 of the family's 1533-position model. The record is from RNAcentral.
CCUACGGGAGGCAGCAGUGAGGAAUAUUGGUCAAUGGGCGGAAGCCUGAACCAGCCAAGUCGCGUGAGGGAAUAAGGCCCUACGGGUCGUAAACCUCUUUUGCCGGGGAGCAAGGGCCGGGACGAGUCCCGGUCCGGAGAGUACCCGGAGACAAAGCAUCGGCUAACUCCGUGCCAGCAGCCGCGGUAAUACGGAGGAUGCUAGCGUUAUCCGGAUUUAUUGGGUUUAAAGGGUGCGUAGGCGGGCUUUUAAGUCAGCGGUAAAAAUUCGGGGCUCAACCCCGGCCGGCCGUUGAAACUGGGGGCCUUGAGUGGGCGAGAAGAAGGCGGAAUGCGUGGUGUAGCGGUGAAAUGCAUAGAUAUCACGCAGAACCCCGAUUGCGAAGGCAGCCUUCCGGCGCCCGACUGACGCUGAGGCACGAAAGUGCGGGGAUCGAACAGGAUUAGAUACCCCAGUAGUC